AUUGAACGCUGGCGGCAGGCCUAACACAUGCAAGUCGAGCGAGCGGCGGACGGGUGAGUAAUGUAUGGGGAUCUGCCCGAUAGAGGGGGAUAACUACUGGAAACGGUGGCUAAUACCGCAUACUAUCGGAUGAACCCAUAUGGGAUUAUCUAGUGGGUGGGGUAAAGUCUCACCUAGGCGACGAUCUCUGUCUGGUCUGGGAAGAUGACCAGCCAGACUGGAAAUGAGACACGGCCCAGACUCCUACGGGAGGCAGCAGUGGGGAAUAUUGCACGAUGGGGGCAAGCCUGAUGCAGCCAGGCCGCGUGUAUGAAGAAGGCCUUAGGGUUGUAAAGUACUUUCAGCGGGGAGGCGUUACCCGCAGAAGAAGCACCGGCUAACUCCGUGCCAGCAGCCGCGGUAAUAC
Molecule: ribosomal RNA, 406 nt
Filed under: uncultured bacterium
Lineage: Bacteria
Description: partial 16S ribosomal RNA
Rfam family: Bacterial small subunit ribosomal RNA
Source: RNAcentral